AUGUACAUACCUGAAUACUCGUCAUAUAUCCGUACAUACUCGAAUACUGUCAAACUGGCACAUAUACAUAUAUACAUACCCGAGUACCUGUGCAUUUUUUUAAUUCAGCUAAACAGGUCUACAGAGUCUCAAUCUUGGCAAAGGCUUGCUUUGCUCCUUUGCCACUCGGCAAACUCUGACCCGUUAGAUUGGGUAGUAGAGAUUGUGAAGAGCAACACGAGCAUCUACUUUACUGACAGGGAAUGUAGGUGUAAUACGUACAUAGUGGUUUUCAUGGUAAAGGUUCUAGUAGAUGUAUGGUCAUUUUAG
RNAcentral lists this ribosomal RNA (309 nucleotides) under Triticum aestivum (bread wheat). RNAcentral's name for it is "partial small subunit ribosomal RNA". The record is from RNAcentral. Lineage: Eukaryota; Viridiplantae; Streptophyta; Magnoliopsida; Poales; Poaceae.